This 251-nucleotide ribosomal RNA is filed under the name uncultured bacterium. Its description in RNAcentral is "partial 16S ribosomal RNA". It matches the Rfam family "Bacterial small subunit ribosomal RNA", at positions 524 to 776 of the family's 1533-position model. The record is from RNAcentral.
GACAGAGGCCUCGAGCGUUAGGCGGAAUCACCGGGCUUAAAGCGUGUGUAGGCGGGCCCGUAAGUGUCUUGUGAAAUCCCACGGCUCAACCGUGGAACUGCUGGGCAUACUGCGGGUCUUGGGCCAACUAGGGGCAGCCGGAACAAGCGGUGGAGCGGUGAAAUGCGUAGAUAUCGCUUGGAACGCCGAAGGUGAAAACAGGCUGCUGGGGUUGCGCCGACGCUGAGACACGAAGCCAGGGAGCAAACGGG